This is a non-coding RNA of Cinara cedri, 248 nucleotides long. The record is from the annotation of a GenBank genome assembly. Lineage: Eukaryota; Metazoa; Arthropoda; Insecta; Hemiptera; Aphididae.
UGCCCGUAUUCAUUUAAAAAACAUAAUAUUGCUCUUUGAAAUUGCCCGAUAGUUACGGAAAGAAGAUGGAUAAUUAUAUUAUUGUUCACCUGCAUACACGACCAAUUAAAAGUUUUCACAACAGUCUUAAUAUCAUUGAUAUUUCUUUAUAUGUAUUUUGUACAUAUGUACAUUGUUGUGUCGUACGUUUUAUCGGUACAUAGUAUUAAAAACGGUGAUAUAAAAUAUUGUUAUCGAUGCCCAUGUAU